This 333-nucleotide unclassified non-coding RNA is filed under the name Hevea brasiliensis (rubber tree). The record is from RNAcentral. Lineage: Eukaryota; Viridiplantae; Streptophyta; Magnoliopsida; Malpighiales; Euphorbiaceae.
UUUCCAAAUUAUAAUUACAAUAUAGCACGUUCUAGUUCAUCAAAUAAACCGUAAAAAAAUUCAAAGCACAACCAAUCCUUUCCAAGCAUAGUUUAAUAGUUACACCAUAGACAAUAAUAGCAGUAAGUGUUACGGCCUCUGGCGACCUUAAGAUCCAUAGUCAAGAGCCAUAGAUUCCCUCAGAAGCCUCACAUCACAGCCACAAGUUUCAAAUCAAAAUAGAUUUUAGGGAUCAAGAAGGGGGACCUGUGAAACAGAACCAUCGUCGUGGAGAACAGCCGUCUAUUGAAGGACCCGGAAGAGAGAGUGAUAACAGCAGCAGGGUGAUAGAUA